UACGUAGGGUGCAAGCGUUUGUCCGGAAUUAUUGGGCGUAAAGAGCUCGUAGGCGGUUUGUCGCGUCUGCUGUGAAAACCCGAGGCUCAACCUCGGGCCUGCAGUGGGUACGGGCAGACUAGAGUGCGGUAGGGGAGAUUGGAAUUCCUGGUGUAGCGGUGGAAUGCGCAGAUAUCAGGAGGAACACCGAUGGCGAAGGCAGAUCUCUGGGCCGUAACUGACGCUGAGGAGCGAAAGCAUGGGGAGCGAACAGG
RNAcentral lists this ribosomal RNA (254 nucleotides) under uncultured bacterium. RNAcentral's name for it is "partial 16S ribosomal RNA". It matches the Rfam family "Bacterial small subunit ribosomal RNA", at positions 524 to 776 of the family's 1533-position model. The record is from RNAcentral.